AUUGAGAGAGUGAUAGGGAGAGAGAGAGAGUGAUAGGGAGAGAGAGAGUGUGAUAGGGAGAGAGAGAGUGAUAGGGAGAGAGAGAGUGAUAGGGAGAGAGAGAGUGUGACAGGGAGAGAGAGAGUGUGACAGGGAGAGAGAGAGUGUGAUAGGGAGAGAGAGAGUGUGACAGGGAGAGAGAGUGUGACAGGGAGAGAGAGAGUGUGAUAGGGAGAGAGAGAGAGUGUGAUAGGGAGAGAGAGAGUGUGACAGGGAGAGAGAGAGAGUGUGAUAGGGAGAGAGAGAGAGUGUGAUAGGGAGAGAGAGAGAGUGAUAGGGGACAGGAUAGAGAGAGAGAGUGGGACAGGGAGAGAGAGAGUGUGAUAGGGAGAGAGAGAGUGGGACAGGGAGAGAGAGAGUGGGACAGGGAGAGAGAGAGUGUGACAGGGAGAGAGAGAGAGAGAGUGUGACAGGGAGAGAGAGAGAGUGUGAGAGAGAGAGAGAGUGUGAUAGGGAGAGAGAGAGUGUGAUAGGGAGAGAGAGAGUGUGAGAGAGAGAGAGAGAGUGUGACAGGGAGAGAGAGAGAGUGUGACAGGGAGAGAGAGAGUGUGAGAGAGAGAGAGAGUGUGACAGGGAGAGAGAGAGUGUGACAGGGAGAGAGAGAGUGGGACAGGGAGAGAGAGAGAGUGGGACAGGGAGAGAGAGAGUGUG
Molecule: long non-coding RNA, 690 nt
Organism: Oncorhynchus tshawytscha (Chinook salmon)
Lineage: Eukaryota; Metazoa; Chordata; Actinopteri; Salmoniformes; Salmonidae
Source: Ensembl